This 501-nucleotide ribosomal RNA is filed under the name uncultured bacterium. RNAcentral describes it as "bacterial SSU rRNA". It matches the Rfam family "Bacterial small subunit ribosomal RNA", at positions 30 to 518 of the family's 1533-position model. The record is from RNAcentral.
UAAACGCUGGCGGCGUGCUUAACACAUGCAAGUCGAACGGGUGGUCUCCCGAGGAUUGACGGUGCUUGCACCUGAUUGACUCAUUGAAUCACUUAGUGGCGGACGGGUGAGUAACGCGUGGGAAACCUGCCUCACACUGGGGGAUAGCAGUUGGAAACGACUGAUAAUACCGCAUAAGCGCACAGCACCGCAUGGUGCAGUGUGAAAAACUCCGGUGGUGUGAGAUGGUCCCGCGUCUGAUUAGCUAGUUGGUGAGGUAACGGCCCACCAAGGCGACGAUCAGUAGCCGGCCUGAGAGGGUGUACGGCCACAUUGGGACUGAGACACGGCCCAAACUCCUACGGGAGGCAGCAGUGGGGAAUAUUGGACAAUGGGGGCAACCCUGAUCCAGCCGACGCCGCGUGAACGAAGAAGUAUCUCGGUAUGUAAAGUUCUAUCAGCAGGGAAGAUAAUGACGGUACCUGACUAAGAAGCACCGGCUAAAUACGUGCCAGCCGCUGC